GGUAAUUAUAAUUCAACGGUAGAAUAUACGCUUGUGGUGCGUCAUAUCUGGGUUCGAUUCCCAGUAUUUACC
This 72-nucleotide transfer RNA is filed under the name Waltiozyma pijperi. RNAcentral's name for it is "Wickerhamomyces pijperi tRNA-His". It matches the Rfam family "tRNA". Rfam says of the family: Transfer RNA (tRNA) molecules are approximately 80 nucleotides in length. Their secondary structure includes four short double-helical elements and three loops (D, anti-codon, and T loops). Lineage: Eukaryota; Fungi; Ascomycota; Saccharomycetes; Phaffomycetales; Wickerhamomycetaceae. The record is from RNAcentral.